GUAUUGGGAACCUACGUGCGGCAGCUACCCUGUAGCUACCCUGUAGCUCCUUAAAGACAACGGCGGAGACGUGGAGUCCUCUGAGCUUAGUAACUUUUCUAGCUUCUGAAGGCGCCGCGGCCCCUGCCGUAAAACCCCCAACUUUUAGUGGUUGACCUCGGAUCAGGUAGGAAUACCCGCUGAACUUAAGCAUAUCAAUAAGCGGAGGAAAAGAAACCAACAGGGAUUGCCUUAGUAACGGCGAGUGAAGCGGCAACAGCUCAAAUUUGAAAGCUGGCCUUCGGGUCCGCAUUGUAAUUUGUAGAGGAUGCUUUUGGUGAGGUGCCUUACGAGUUCCCUGGAACGGGACGCCUUAGAGGGUGAGAGCCCCGUACGUUUGGUUACCGAGCCUCUGUAAAGCUCCUUCGACGAGUCGAGUAGUUUGGGAAUGCUGCUCUAAAUGGGAGGUAAAUUUCUUCUAAAGCUAAAUACCGGCCAGAGACCGAUAGCGCA
RNAcentral lists this ribosomal RNA (492 nucleotides) under Xylariomycetidae sp. ARIZ NC0770. RNAcentral describes it as "eukaryotic LSU rRNA". The stretch from base 153 to 492 matches the Rfam family "Eukaryotic large subunit ribosomal RNA", at positions 1 to 344 of the family's 3401-position model. The record is from RNAcentral. Lineage: Eukaryota; Fungi; Ascomycota; Sordariomycetes.